RNAcentral lists this ribosomal RNA (2898 nucleotides) under Klebsiella pneumoniae. RNAcentral describes it as "23S ribosomal RNA". It matches the Rfam family "Bacterial large subunit ribosomal RNA". Lineage: Bacteria; Pseudomonadati; Pseudomonadota; Gammaproteobacteria; Enterobacterales; Enterobacteriaceae. The record is from RNAcentral.
GGUUAAGCGACUAAGCGUACACGGUGGAUGCCCUGGCAGUCAGAGGCGAUGAAGGACGUGCUAAUCUGCGAAAAGCGUCGGUAAGGUGAUAUGAACCGUUAUAACCGGCGAUGUCCGAAUGGGGAAACCCAGUGUGAUUCGUCACACUAUCGUUAACUGAAUACAUAGGUUAACGAGGCGAACCGGGGAACUGAAACAUCUAAGUACCCCGAGGAAAAGAAAUCAACCGAGAUUCCCCCAGUAGCGGCGAGCGAACGGGGAGCAGCCCAGAGUCUGAAUCAGCUUGUGUGUUAGUGGAACGGUCUGGAAAGUCCGACGGUACAGGGUGAUAGUCCCGUACACCAAAAUGCACAGGCUGUGAACUCGAAGAGUAGGGCGGGACACGUGGUAUCCUGUCUGAAUAUGGGGGGACCAUCCUCCAAGGCUAAAUACUCCUGACUGACCGAUAGUGAACCAGUACCGUGAGGGAAAGGCGAAAAGAACCCCGGCGAGGGGAGUGAAAAAGAACCUGAAACCGUGUACGUACAAGCAGUGGGAGCACCUUCGGGUGUGACUGCGUACCUUUUGUAUAAUGGGUCAGCGACUUAUAUUCUGUAGCAAGGUUAACCGUAUAGGGGAGCCGCAGGGAAACCGAGUCUUAACUGGGCGUUAAGUUGCAGGGUAUAGACCCGAAACCCGGUGAUCUAGCCAUGGGCAGGUUGAAGGUUGGGUAACACUAACUGGAGGACCGAACCGACUAAUGUUGAAAAAUUAGCGGAUGACUUGUGGCUGGGGGUGAAAGGCCAAUCAAACCGGGAGAUAGCUGGUUCUCCCCGAAAGCUAUUUAGGUAGCGCCUCGUGAACUCAUCUUCGGGGGUAGAGCACUGUUUCGGCUAGGGGUCAUCCCGACUUACCAACCCGAUGCAAACUACGAAUACCGAAGAAUGUUAUCACGGGAGACACACGGCGGGUGCUAACGUCCGUCGUGAAGAGGGAAACAACCCAGACCGCCAGCUAAGGUCCCAAAGUCAUGGUUAAGUGGGAAACGAUGUGGGAAGGCACAGACAGCCAGGAUGUUGGCUUAGAAGCAGCCAUCAUUUAAAGAAAGCGUAAUAGCUCACUGGUCGAGUCGGCCUGCGCGGAAGAUGUAACGGGGCUAAACCAUGCACCGAAGCUGCGGCAGCGACACUAUGUGUUGUUGGGUAGGGGAGCGUUCUGUAAGCCUGCGAAGGUGUGCUGUGAGGCAUGCUGGAGGUAUCAGAAGUGCGAAUGCUGACAUAAGUAACGAUAAAGCGGGUGAAAAGCCCGCUCGCCGGAAGACCAAGGGUUCCUGUCCAACGUUAAUCGGGGCAGGGUGAGUCGACCCCUAAGGCGAGGCCGAAAGGCGUAGUCGAUGGGAAACAGGUUAAUAUUCCUGUACUUGGUGUUACUGCGAAGGGGGACGGAGAAGGCUAUGUUAGCCGGGCGACGGUUGUCCCGGUUUAAGCAUGUAGGCUGGUUGUCCAGGCAAAUCCGGAUAAUCAAGGCUGAGGUGUGAUGACGAGGCACUACGGUGCUGAAGUAACAAAUGCCCUGCUUCCAGGAAAAGCCUCUAAGCAUCAGGUAACAUCAAAUCGUACCCCAAACCGACACAGGUGGUCAGGUAGAGAAUACCAAGGCGCUUGAGAGAACUCGGGUGAAGGAACUAGGCAAAAUGGUGCCGUAACUUCGGGAGAAGGCACGCUGGUGUGUAGGUGAAGUCCCUGCGGAUGGAGCUGAGACCAGUCGAAGAUACCAGCUGGCUGCAACUGUUUAUUAAAAACACAGCACUGUGCAAACACGAAAGUGGACGUAUACGGUGUGACGCCUGCCCGGUGCCGGAAGGUUAAUUGAUGGGGUUAUCCGUAAGGAGAAGCUCUUGAUCGAAGCCCCGGUAAACGGCGGCCGUAACUAUAACGGUCCUAAGGUAGCGAAAUUCCUUGUCGGGUAAGUUCCGACCUGCACGAAUGGCGUAAUGAUGGCCAGGCUGUCUCCACCCGAGACUCAGUGAAAUUGAACUCGCUGUGAAGAUGCAGUGUACCCGCGGCAAGACGGAAAGACCCCGUGAACCUUUACUAUAGCUUGACACUGAACAUUGAGCCUUGAUGUGUAGGAUAGGUGGGAGGCUUUGAAGCGUGGACGCCAGUCUGCGUGGAGCCAACCUUGAAAUACCACCCUUUAAUGUUUGAUGUUCUAACGUUGGCCCCUUACCGGGGUUGCGGACAGUGUCUGGUGGGUAGUUUGACUGGGGCGGUCUCCUCCCAAAGCGUAACGGAGGAGCACGAAGGUUAGCUAAUCCUGGUCGGACAUCAGGAGGUUAGUGCAAUGGCAUAAGCUAGCUUGACUGCGAGCGUGACGGCGCGAGCAGGUGCGAAAGCAGGUCAUAGUGAUCCGGUGGUUCUGAAUGGAAGGGCCAUCGCUCAACGGAUAAAAGGUACUCCGGGGAUAACAGGCUGAUACCGCCCAAGAGUUCAUAUCGACGGCGGUGUUUGGCACCUCGAUGUCGGCUCAUCACAUCCUGGGGCUGAAGUAGGUCCCAAGGGUAUGGCUGUUCGCCAUUUAAAGUGGUACGCGAGCUGGGUUUAGAACGUCGUGAGACAGUUCGGUCCCUAUCUGCCGUGGGCGCUGGAGAAUUGAGGGGGCUGCUCCUAGUACGAGAGGACCGGAGUGGACGCAUCACUGGUGUUCGGGUUGUCAUGCCAAUGGCACUGCCCGGUAGCUAAAUGCGGAAGAGAUAAGUGCUGAAAGCAUCUAAGCACGAAACUUGCCCCGAGAUGAGUUCUCCCUGAGACUUUAAGUCUCCUGAAGGAACGUUGAAGACGACGACGUUGAUAGGCCGGGUGUGUAAGCGCAGCGAUGCGUUGAGCUAACCGGUACUAAUGAACCGUGAGGCUUAACCUU